Molecule: ribosomal RNA, 477 nt
Filed under: uncultured bacterium
Lineage: Bacteria
Description: partial 16S ribosomal RNA
Rfam family: Bacterial small subunit ribosomal RNA
Source: RNAcentral
GAUCAACGCUGGCGGCGUGCAUAACACAUGCAAGUCGAACGAUGAAGAUUAAAAGAUUUCUUCGGAAUGAACUUAAUUGGAUUAGUGGCGGACGGGUGAGUAACGCGUGAGUAACCUGCCUUGUACAAGGGGAUAGCCGUUGGAAACGACGAAUAAUACCCUAUGACAUCAAAUAAUCGCAUGAUAAUUUGAUCAAAGAUUUAUCGGUAUAAGUUGGACUCGCGUCUGAUUAGCUAGUUGGUAGAGUAAAAGCCUACCAAGGCAACGAUCAGUAGCCGGCUUGAGAGAGUGUACGGCCACAUUGGGACUGAGACACGGCCCAGACUCCUACGGGAGGCAGCAGUGGGGAAUUUUGCACAAUGGGGGAAACCCUGAUGCAGCGACGCCGCGUGAUUUAGAAGGCCUUCGGGUUGUAAAAAUCUUUUGUAUGGGAAGAAAAUGACAGUACCAUACGAAUAAGGACCGGCUAAUUACGUG